GACGAACCGUGCGAACGUUAUUCGGAAUCACUGGGCUUAAAGCGCGUGUAGGCGGGCGGGAACGUCGGUCGCUGAAAUCCCCCGGCUCAACCGGGGAAGGGGCGCCGAAACGGUUCGCCUGGAGGAACGUAGGGGGAGCUGGAACUUCCGGUGGAGCGGUGAAAUGCGUUGAGAUCGGAAGGAACGCCCGUGGCGAAAGCGAGCUCCUGGACGUUUUCUGACGCUGAGACGCGAAAGCCAGGGGAGCGAACGG
Molecule: ribosomal RNA, 253 nt
Filed under: uncultured bacterium
Lineage: Bacteria
Description: partial 16S ribosomal RNA
Rfam family: Bacterial small subunit ribosomal RNA
Source: RNAcentral